This 179-nucleotide ribosomal RNA is filed under the name Ruellia fulgida. RNAcentral's name for it is "5.8S ribosomal RNA". The stretch from base 8 to 163 matches the Rfam family "5.8S ribosomal RNA". From Rfam's summary of the family: 5.8S ribosomal RNA (5.8S rRNA) is a component of the large subunit of the eukaryotic ribosome. It is transcribed by RNA polymerase I as part of the 45S precursor that also contains 18S and 28S rRNA. Lineage: Eukaryota; Viridiplantae; Streptophyta; Magnoliopsida; Lamiales; Acanthaceae. The record is from RNAcentral.
UCAAAACGACUCUCGGCAACGGAUAUCUCGGCUCUCGCAUCGAUGAAGAACGUAGCGAAAUGCGAUACUUGGUGUGAAUUGCAGAAUCCCGUGAACCAUCGAGUCUUUGAACGCAAGUUGCGCCCGAAGCCUUCGGGCCGAGGGCACGCCUGCCUGGGCGUCACGCAUCGCGUCGCCCC